Molecule: ribosomal RNA, 453 nt
Filed under: uncultured bacterium
Lineage: Bacteria
Description: bacterial SSU rRNA
Rfam family: Bacterial small subunit ribosomal RNA
Source: RNAcentral
GGACGGGUGAGUAACGCGUGGGUAACCUACCCCAGAGUCCGGGAUAACAGCGGGAAACCGCUGCUAAUACCGGAUGCCUUUACCUUGGGGCAUCUUGAGGUAAAGAAAGGUAACGCUUUGGGAUGGGCCCGCGUCCCAUUAGCUAGUUGGUGAGGUAACGGCUCACCAAGGCGACGAUGGGUAGCCGGCCUGAGAGGGUGGACGGCCACACUGGGACUGAGACACGGCCCAGACUCCUACGGGAGGCAGCAGUAGGGAAUAUUGCGCAAUGGACGGAAGUCUGACGCAGCGACGCCGCGUGAGCGAUGAAGGUCUUCGGAUCGUAAAGCUCUGUCCUUGGGGAAGAAGGCGAAAGCUUGACGGUACCCAAGAAGAAAGCCCCGGCUAACUACGUGCCAGCAGCCGCGGUAAUACGUAGGGGGCGAGCGUUGUCCGGAAUUACUGGGCGUAAAG